RNAcentral lists this ribosomal RNA (1391 nucleotides) under uncultured bacterium. RNAcentral describes it as "16S ribosomal RNA". It matches the Rfam family "Bacterial small subunit ribosomal RNA". The record is from RNAcentral.
UUCGCCCUUAGAGUUUGAUCCUGGCUCAGGAUGAACGCUGGCGGCGUGCUUAACACAUGCAAGUCGAACGAGGGAUUUUGGAUGAGACUUCGGUGGAUUCCGGAAUACCGAGUGGCGGACGGGUGAGUAACGCGUGGGCAACCUGCCCUGUACAGGGGGACAACAGCUGGAAACGGCUGCUAAUACCGCAUAAGCGCACGGUAUCGCAUGAUACAGUGUGAAAAACUCCGGUGGUACAGGAUGGGCCCGCGUUGGAUUAGGUAGUUGGUGAGAUAACAGCCCACCAAGCCGACGAUCGGUAGCCGGACUGAGAGGUUGAUCGGCCACAUUGGGACUGAGACACGGCCCAGACUCCUACGGGAGGCAGCAGUGGGGGAUAUUGCACAAUGGGGGAAACCCUGAUGCAGCGACGCCGCGUGAGGGAAGACGGUUUUCGGAUUGUAAACCUCUGUCUUUGGGGACGAAAAAAUGACGGUACCCAAGGAGGAAGCCACGGCUAACUACGUGCCAGCAGCCGCGGUAAUACGUAGGUGGCAAGCGUUGCCCGGAAUUACUGGGUGUAAAGGGAGCGUAGGCGGGGAGACAAGUUGAAUGUUUAAACUAUCGGCUUAACUGAUAGUCGCGUUCAAAACUAUCACUCUUGAGUGCAGUAGAGGUAGGCGGAAUUCCUAGUGUAGCGGUGAAAUGCGUAGAUAUUAGGAGGAACACCAGUGGCGAAGGCGGCCUACUGGGCUGUAACUGACGCUGAGGCUCGAAAGCGUGGGUAGCAAACAGGAUUAGAUACCCUGGUAGUCCACGCCGUAAACGAUGAUUACUGGGUGUGGGGGGGACGGACCCCUUCCGUGCCGGAGUUAACACAAUAAGUAAUCCACCUGGGGAGUACGACCGCAAGGUUGAAACUCAAAGGAAUUGACGGGGGCCCGCACAAGCAGUGGAGUAUGUGGUUUAAUUCGAAGCAACGCGAAGAACCUUACCAGGUCUUGACAUCGAGUGACGAACUUAGAGAUAAGUUUUUCCUUCGGGACACAAAGACAGGUGGUGCAUGGUUGUCGUCAGCUCGUGUCGUGAGAUGUUGGGUUAAGUCCCGCAACGAGCGCAACCCUUAUCAUUAGUUGCUACGCAAGAGCACUCUAAUGAGACUGCCGUUGAUAAAACGGAGGAAGGUGGGGAUGACGUCAAAUCAUCAUGCCUCUUAUGACCUGGGCUACACACGUACUACAAUGGUGAUAAAACAGAGGGAAGCAACACAGCGAUGUGAAGCAAAUCCCGAAAAAUCAUCUCAGUUCAGAUUGCAGGCUGCAACUCGCCUGCAUGAAGUCGGAAUUGCUAGUAAUCGCGGAUCAGCAUGCCGCGGUGAAUACGUUCCCGGGCCUUGCACACACCGCCCGUCA